GAUUUCUGGCCUGCAACCCUUGGCCGGCCACGGUUUCGUGUGUUAGUGCCUCGUGUUCUGGCCAUCCUUCCAAUCGCUCCGCACCCAUCUUCAUUGAUGGGGGCGCAGUAUUGGAUCUUUUACUUUGAAAAAAUUAGAGUGUUUCAAGCAGGCUUUAUGCUAUGAAUACAUUAGCAUGGAAUAAUAAUUUAGGACUUCGGUUCUAUUUUGUUGGUUUCUAGGACUGAAGUAAUGAUUGAUAGGGAUAGUUGGGGGUGCUAGUAUUCAGCGGCCAGAGGUGAAAUUCUCGGAUUCGCUGAAGACUAACUUAUGCGAAAGCAUU
RNAcentral lists this ribosomal RNA (322 nucleotides) under Sandonidae sp. RNAcentral's name for it is "SSU rRNA". The stretch from base 112 to 322 matches the Rfam family "Eukaryotic small subunit ribosomal RNA", at positions 744 to 955 of the family's 1831-position model. Lineage: Eukaryota; Cercozoa; Glissomonadida; Sandonidae. The record is from RNAcentral.